GAUGAACGCUGGCGGCGUGCCUAACACAUGCAAGUCGAACGGACGGACGCUAAGCUUGUUUCUUUGAUGUUAGCGGCGGACGGGUGAGUCACGCGUGGAUCACCUCCUUAUAUUUCUGGGAUAAUUUCGGGAAACCGUCUCUAAUACCAUAUAAUAUUUUGCACCGCAUUGUUCAUAGGAGAAUGACGGUCUUGCUGUCUCUACUAGCUGCUUCCGCGCUGGAUUAGCUGGUUGGUAAGGUACCGGCCUACCAAGGCUACGAUGCAUAGACGAACUGAGAGGGUGAUAGGCCACACGGGAGAGGAGACACGGUCAAGACUCCUAAGGGAGGCAGCAGUAGGGAAUAUUAGGCAAUGGGCGAAAGCCUGACGGAGCAAGGCCGCGUGAGUGAUGAAGGUCUUCGGAUCGUAAAGACCGGUUAUUGGGGAAGAACAGAUGUGGAAUUAAAUGUGGAGAUAUUGACGGUACCGAAUAAAAAAGCAACGGCUAACUACGUG
Molecule: ribosomal RNA, 497 nt
Filed under: uncultured bacterium
Lineage: Bacteria
Description: partial 16S ribosomal RNA
Rfam family: Bacterial small subunit ribosomal RNA
Source: RNAcentral